UUGUCAUUCAAACAAAAUAAUAUCUAAAACAUAGAUUUGGAAUAUGACAAGUUAGGGGAAUAUGUCACGGGGAGUGUGUUUGCAAGGAAGCCUAGUAAAGCCUCGAACUCGCCAAGUAACGUGACAAUUUCAUCCCCUUAAAAGACACUACUACAAUACCCAUGUAAUCUCGACACUAUAGCCUUGACACAAUGGACAACCGUCAAGGGUAAAAUAUAGUUCGCGCCUCACCUCGAUGGUUUUUAGUGUUACAAGUGUCGAAAUUAUUAUGUGGCCGGUGGCCCCCAUGUGAUGAAAAGAGGACCAGUAGUUUCAAGCCCGCGAAAUGAAAUUUUAGGCUGAAAUUAAAGGCGGUCAUUUUAAAGUUAAAAAAAAAAACAAAAAAAAAAAAAAUUAAAACAAAACCCAUGUACAGUACUACUACUAGAGUACCAAAGCGAUUAGUUUCCUCUCUUCGAUCUUAUUAGCUUUUGAACCCUAACAUUACCCCUCUUUUGAUUUUGUUAUUCACAUCUCAAAAACAAUUGCUUCUCAAUCGCUCAUCAUCCAAGAUCCGAUUUUUGAAGGGGACGAAAAACAACAACAUAAUCUAGGUAACAAUUUGGAGUAGGCUUGAAUCACGAUUGCUCUCUUCCAGCGAAUUCAGCAAUUGAUACGAAGGAGUUAGAUGAUAUUCAAUCCAAGUUUGUUUUGACACUUUGUAAAAUGGAACAAGAGUUUCUACCAACAUUUCUCAAUCAUGGUUCAUCUAUUGAUUCAUUUAGUGGAUGAGGUUAGACACGGUGGACCAGUUCAUUACAGAUGGAUGUAUCCCGUUGAAAGGUACAAGGCUAUAAAUAAAUAUAGGAAUAUCACUAGAUCCGAUUGAUUGCUUGGUUAGAGGUGAGAGGCAUUAUUGAUUGUCUGAGUGCUUUACUUUUUUACACAUGAGCAGGAGUACAGAACUGAGCCAAUUAAUUGGUUCUUUUUUUUUUUGUCUUUUUUCAUAGUUAUGUUGAAAACUACGUCUUUUUUUGGAAAUUCACUUCGUAUUAUUACUGGUGGAUACAAAUAAACUGGUGGCAGUAGUUAGUUAUGCAACAUCUUGUCAUAGUAGUCGACUUUAUGGACUUAAUUUCUCUUUACCUUUUUUCCCUUUUAGGUUAGUCAAGAUGAGUUAUCAUAGCAAAAGAACAAGGGAGGCUGGCCUUGCAGCCAUAAAUGUACCUUAUACAGUUUCAAAUAAGCCUCCAAAAUUGGUAUCAUCACAACCACUACAAAAAGAGCCUAAAGCUUCAAUACCUUCUACCUUAGUCCAAAAAUCAGGGGAAGCUAAUGGUAGAUGGGGACCAUUUACCCCACCAAACACUCAAAACCCACCUUCAUUUUCCACUACUAAUAUGAAUACACAACCUCAACCCCCAAAAAGCAAUCCAAUAUGGAAGAAACCACUCAUCAAUGUACCAAGUUCUCUUAGCAAAACUAGCACUCAAGACCUCCCUUUAUCUUCAACUACUAGCACAAGUAAACCUCUGCCCCAAAAAAGUAAUGUUGAAUGGAAGAAGCAACACAAUGUACAAAAUUCUCCGACCAUAACUAACCCACAAGACCUAUGUUAAUCUUUUACUGCUAUUAUAAGUGCACAACCUCAACCUUAAAAAAGCAUUCCUACAAUGAGAAACCCAACUAAUGUAAAAAACCCUCCAAGCAUAACUAAGACUCACAACAUCCCUUCAUCUUCUACACAAAAUACCUCUAUCGUUCCUCAAAAAAUUCCACCUCCUAAGCUAUCAAAACCACCUCUAUUCCCUUCUACUUCCCAUACUUCUCAUCAACCAUUGUUACAAGAAAUUCAAUAUUAUCAUACUGCACAUAAGGAUAAAGAGAAGCAUGCAUGUGAUUGAGCUGCAAAAGAAAAAUCUAAAAUUUUCAAGCUUCGACGUCGCGCAUCUCUUCCUAAAUGGAUUGGUGCAAUUGAGUAUGAUGACAAGGAAGAGGUUAUAACUAUUGUAGCAAGCAAACAAAAUCAAAAUGCUGAUGGUAAGAAGGAAGCGAUUAAUUAGUGGACCAAUUCGGCAAAUUGAGGUUUGGAAUAACAAUGGUGUUAAAUAUGUUGUGUGCAUUUCAAUGAUUUUUGCCAACCAAUUUGGAAAGGUGGGCAUGUAUUGGUCCAAUUCCUUGGUAGCAUUGCAAAGGAAGAGCAAUACUGCCCACUUUCAGAGAAUACUUGGCUUAAGUUGGACGCCUCUUUUAAGAGGGACAUCAGUAAAUCAAUAAUGGUAUAUAUUCCAUUUGUCACUUAGUUAAAAUUUGUGUUACAUAUCAUUUACAUUUGUUCAUGGAAUUAUGUUUUAUUAAGGACCGCUUUGUGAUCCCCGAUGAGGAGAAGUAUUACAUCCAAGCUCUACAGCGUGUUGAUAAAGUUUGGAGGAAUUAUAAACAUGAUCUUAAGAAACGAUACUUUAAAACCAGAUGAGAAUUCAAUAACAGAAAUUGUUGAUAAACCCCCAAAUGGAGUAACAAGAGUAAUUGAUUUAAUUUGGUUAACUACUGGAAUUCAGAGAGAGGGAAAGUAAGUUUUUAUUAUAUGAAUAAUGUUACAGCUAUCGCAAUGAAAUCAUAUAUUAUGUUUCAUUUUUCUCUAUUAUAAAUUUUGAAAGUUGUAUGAAUUAUUGCAGGAAUUGUCUUAAAUCAGAAAAGAGGCAAGAGCAUCUCUAAACCAAAUUCAUAAUUCUGGUGGUACAAGCUUUGCAAAUAGACGUGCUGAUUAUGUAUGAUUGAUUUACCCAUUGAUUACAAAUAUAAUGCAUAGUGAUGCAUGAAAUUGUGGUUGGCAUUUUUUGAAAACAAUUCAAUAUGUAACCUAUAUAUCUCUAUUAAAUGUAAUUUAUAGGAAGAUGAGCACGGAGAAGAAAUGAGCCUAUAUGAACUGUGGCAAAAAUGUUAUAGAAGAAAGGAUGGAACUUUUUACAAAGGCACAUACACAGAAGAUUUCCUAGUAUUAGUUCUUUUUGGUUGUUUAUCUUCUAAUUUUAGAUAAAUUUACUCUAACAUAUACAUGUGUUAUAUAUGUUGUGAAGGAAGAUGUUAAGGCUAAGGCUGAAAGCUUAAAGCUUACAUACCUUGAUGGUUCAAAGGUCGCGUAUUAAAAUAGAGAAUGAAGCUUUUGAGGCUACACUAUAUGGUGGACAGAAACAUGAAAAACCACAAGGCUUCGGUUUUGGAGUUCGAAGUGGAGACAUUUAUGGGGUGCGUGGUGCACUUAGAAAAGAAGGGAUUGGAAAAGGAACAAGAGUUGUGGAAAUGGACAACAUGUCAUUGGAGGUAUCAAGUUUAAAAGAAGAAAAUAAGGAGCUUCAUGAGUAAAAUGAAGAGAUAAAAGGAAAGUGUGAUGAGAAUACAAAGCUACUUAAGACAAUGGCAACACUAUUUUCUCAAGUUUUAGAAUCCUUUCGUAGUGGAGAAGGUUCAUCACAACUUCUAGAUACAGCAUAACUAGCCUUGCGUAUGGCUAACCCUUAGGUUAUAUGGUUAAAUAAUUCCUCACUCCCUUCCUUGUUUAUUUGGCUAUGGCAAUCAACAUAUAUUAAUUUUGACUUUGGUAA
This is a long non-coding RNA of Chenopodium quinoa (quinoa), 3584 nucleotides long. RefSeq lists it as uncharacterized. The record is from RefSeq and is a predicted model, not a curated record. The transcript has 7 exons. NCBI's taxonomy places the organism in Eukaryota, Viridiplantae, Streptophyta, Magnoliopsida, Caryophyllales, Amaranthaceae.